RNAcentral lists this ribosomal RNA (2900 nucleotides) under Klebsiella quasipneumoniae subsp. similipneumoniae. RNAcentral describes it as "bacterial LSU rRNA". It matches the Rfam family "Bacterial large subunit ribosomal RNA". Lineage: Bacteria; Pseudomonadati; Pseudomonadota; Gammaproteobacteria; Enterobacterales; Enterobacteriaceae. The record is from RNAcentral.
UUAAGCGACUAAGCGUACACGGUGGAUGCCCUGGCAGUCAGAGGCGAUGAAGGACGUGCUAAUCUGCGAAAAGCGUCGGUAAGGUGAUAUGAACCGUUAUAACCGGCGAUGUCCGAAUGGGGAAACCCAGUGCAAUUCGUUGCACUAUCGUUAACUGAAUACAUAGGUUAACGAGGCGAACCGGGGGAACUGAAACAUCUAAGUACCCCGAGGAAAAGAAAUCAACCGAGAUUCCCCCAGUAGCGGCGAGCGAACGGGGAGCAGCCCAGAGUCUGAAUCAGCUUGUGUGUUAGUGGAACGGUCUGGAAAGUCCGACGGUACAGGGUGAUAGUCCCGUACACCAAAAUGCACAGGCUGUGAACUCGAAGAGUAGGGCGGGACACGUGGUAUCCUGUCUGAAUAUGGGGGGACCAUCCUCCAAGGCUAAAUACUCCUGACUGACCGAUAGUGAACCAGUACCGUGAGGGAAAGGCGAAAAGAACCCCGGCGAGGGGAGUGAAAAAGAACCUGAAACCGUGUACGUACAAGCAGUGGGAGCACCUUCGGGUGUGACUGCGUACCUUUUGUAUAAUGGGUCAGCGACUUAUAUUCUGUAGCAAGGUUAACCGUAUAGGGGAGCCGCAGGGAAACCGAGUCUUAACUGGGCGUUAAGUUGCAGGGUAUAGACCCGAAACCCGGUGAUCUAGCCAUGGGCAGGUUGAAGGUUGGGUAACACUAACUGGAGGACCGAACCGACUAAUGUUGAAAAAUUAGCGGAUGACUUGUGGCUGGGGGUGAAAGGCCAAUCAAACCGGGAGAUAGCUGGUUCUCCCCGAAAGCUAUUUAGGUAGCGCCUCGUGAACUCAUCUUCGGGGGUAGAGCACUGUUUCGGCUAGGGGGUCAUCCCGACUUACCAACCCGAUGCAAACUACGAAUACCGAAGAAUGUUAUCACGGGAGACACACGGCGGGUGCUAACGUCCGUCGUGAAGAGGGAAACAACCCAGACCGCCAGCUAAGGUCCCAAAGUCAUGGUUAAGUGGGAAACGAUGUGGGAAGGCACAGACAGCCAGGAUGUUGGCUUAGAAGCAGCCAUCAUUUAAAGAAAGCGUAAUAGCUCACUGGUCGAGUCGGCCUGCGCGGAAGAUGUAACGGGGCUAAACCAUGCACCGAAGCUGCGGCAGCGACACGAUGUGUUGUUGGGUAGGGGAGCGUUCUGUAAGCCUGCGAAGGUGACCUGUGAGGGUUGCUGGAGGUAUCAGAAGUGCGAAUGCUGACAUAAGUAACGAUAAAGCGGGUGAAAAGCCCGCUCGCCGGAAGACCAAGGGUUCCUGUCCAACGUUAAUCGGGGCAGGGUGAGUCGACCCCUAAGGCGAGGCCGAAAGGCGUAGUCGAUGGGAAACAGGUUAAUAUUCCUGUACUUGGUGUUACUGCGAAGGGGGGACGGAGAAGGCUAUGUUAGCCGGGCGACGGUUGUCCCGGUUUAAGCAUGUAGGCUGGUUAUCCAGGCAAAUCCGGAUAAUCAAGGCUGAGGUGUGAUGACGAGGCACUACGGUGCUGAAGUAACAAAUGCCCUGCUUCCAGGAAAAGCCUCUAAGCAUCAGGUAACAUCAAAUCGUACCCCAAACCGACACAGGUGGUCAGGUAGAGAAUACCAAGGCGCUUGAGAGAACUCGGGUGAAGGAACUAGGCAAAAUGGUGCCGUAACUUCGGGAGAAGGCACGCUGGUGUGUAGGUGAAGUCCCUGCGGAUGGAGCUGAGACCAGUCGAAGAUACCAGCUGGCUGCAACUGUUUAUUAAAAACACAGCACUGUGCAAACACGAAAGUGGACGUAUACGGUGUGACGCCUGCCCGGUGCCGGAAGGUUAAUUGAUGGGGUUAUCCGUAAGGAGAAGCUCUUGAUCGAAGCCCCGGUAAACGGCGGCCGUAACUAUAACGGUCCUAAGGUAGCGAAAUUCCUUGUCGGGUAAGUUCCGACCUGCACGAAUGGCGUAAUGAUGGCCAGGCUGUCUCCACCCGAGACUCAGUGAAAUUGAACUCGCUGUGAAGAUGCAGUGUACCCGCGGCAAGACGGAAAGACCCCGUGAACCUUUACUAUAGCUUGACACUGAACAUUGAGCCUUGAUGUGUAGGAUAGGUGGGAGGCUUUGAAGCGUGGACGCCAGUCUGCGUGGAGCCAACCUUGAAAUACCACCCUUUAAUGUUUGAUGUUCUAACGUUGGCCCCUUACCGGGGUUGCGGACAGUGUCUGGUGGGUAGUUUGACUGGGGCGGUCUCCUCCCAAAGCGUAACGGAGGAGCACGAAGGUUAGCUAAUCCUGGUCGGACAUCAGGAGGUUAGUGCAAUGGCAUAAGCUAGCUUGACUGCGAGCGUGACGGCGCGAGCAGGUGCGAAAGCAGGUCAUAGUGAUCCGGUGGUUCUGAAUGGAAGGGCCAUCGCUCAACGGAUAAAAGGUACUCCGGGGAUAACAGGCUGAUACCGCCCAAGAGUUCAUAUCGACGGCGGUGUUUGGCACCUCGAUGUCGGCUCAUCACAUCCUGGGGCUGAAGUAGGUCCCAAGGGUAUGGCUGUUCGCCAUUUAAAGUGGUACGCGAGCUGGGUUUAGAACGUCGUGAGACAGUUCGGUCCCUAUCUGCCGUGGGCGCUGGAGAAUUGAGGGGGGCUGCUCCUAGUACGAGAGGACCGGAGUGGACGCAUCACUGGUGUUCGGGUUGUCAUGCCAAUGGCACUGCCCGGUAGCUAAAUGCGGAAGAGAUAAGUGCUGAAAGCAUCUAAGCACGAAACUUGCCCCGAGAUGAGUUCUCCCUGAGACUUUAAGUCUCCUGAAGGAACGUUGAAGACGACGACGUUGAUAGGCCGGGUGUGUAAGCGCAGCGAUGCGUUGAGCUAACCGGUACUAAUGAACCGUGAGGCUUAACCUU